Molecule: ribosomal RNA, 588 nt
Filed under: Oxypoda lentula
Lineage: Eukaryota; Metazoa; Arthropoda; Insecta; Coleoptera; Staphylinidae
Description: partial 16S ribosomal RNA
Rfam family: Bacterial large subunit ribosomal RNA
Source: RNAcentral
UUUAAUGGCCGCAGUAUUUUGACUGUGCAAAGGUAGCAUAAUCAUUAGUUUCUUAAUUAGAAGCUGGAAUGAAAGGUUGAACGAGAAAAUAACUGUCUCUUUAUAAAUUUAUUAGAAUUUUAUUUUUAAGUUAAAAAGCUUAAAUAUAUUUAAAAGACGAGAAGACCCUAUAGAGUUUUAUAUAAUUUUUUAUAAUGAUUUAUUUAUUAUUAUUAAAAUUUUAUGAAAAAUUUUAUUUAAUUGGGGUGAUUGAAAAAUUUAAUAAACUUUUUUUUAAUAAAAACAUUUUUUUUAUGAUUAAUUGAUCCAUUAUUAAUGAUUAAAAGAUUAAAUUACCUUAGGGAUAACAGCGUAAUUUCUUUUUAGAGUUCUUAUCGAUAAAGAAGUUUGCGACCUCGAUGUUGGAUUAAAAUAUAUUUUUGGUGUAGAAGCUAAAACAUUAAGUCUGUUCGACUUUUAAAAUUUUACAUGAUCUGAGUUUAAACCGGUGUGAGCCAGGUUGGUUUCUAUCUUUAAAUUAUUAAAAUAUUUUAGUACGAAAGGACCAAAUAUUUAAAAAAUUUUUUAAAUAUUGAAUAAUAAUAAUUU